Molecule: ribosomal RNA, 403 nt
Filed under: uncultured eukaryote
Lineage: Eukaryota
Description: partial 18S ribosomal RNA
Rfam family: Eukaryotic small subunit ribosomal RNA
Source: RNAcentral
CAAUAGCGUAUAUUAAUGUUGUUGCAGUUAAAAAGCUCGUAGUUGGAUUUCGAAUGGGAGCGGCUGGUCGGCUCCGCAAGGGGUCGUAACCGUGUUCGUCUCCGGUUCUAUUUCGGGGUAUUCUUGGGCAUGGCAUUGGUUUGUCGUGUUUAGGACCCGUCGUUUACUGUGAACAAAUUAGAGUGUUCCAAGCAAGGCUUGACUUGAAUACAUUAGCAUGGAAUAAUAAGAUAGGACUUUGGUGGUUCUGCCCAUUUGGGUGGAUAUUUUGUUGGUUUGCACGCCAAAGUAAUGAUUAAUAGGAGCAGUUGGGGGUAUUCGUAUUCAAUUGUCAGAGGUGAAAUUCUUGGAUUUCUAGAAGACGAACUACUGCGAAAGCAUUUACCAAGGAUGUUUUCAUUAA